RNAcentral lists this ribosomal RNA (252 nucleotides) under uncultured prokaryote. RNAcentral's name for it is "partial 16S ribosomal RNA". It matches the Rfam family "Bacterial small subunit ribosomal RNA", at positions 525 to 777 of the family's 1533-position model. The record is from RNAcentral.
ACGAAGGGGGCUAGCGUUGUUCGGAUUUACUGGGCGUAAAGCGCACGUAGGCGGAUCGUUAAGUCUGGUGUUUAAACCCGAGGCUCAACUUCGGGUCGCACUGGAAACUGGGGAACUUGAGUGCAGAAGAGGAGAGUGGAAUUCCAUGUGUAGCGGUGAAAUGCGUAGAUAUGUGGAGGAACACCAGUGGCGAAGGCGACUCUCUGGGCUGUAACUGACGCUGAGGCGCGAAAGCGUGGGGAGCAAACAGGA